GCCGGGCUAGCUCAAUCGGUAGAGCGUGCGGCUCUUAUUAGUUUAGACAUCGGAAUAUUCAAAUAUCUCGUCUAGUUGAUCAACCGCAAGGCUGCGGGUUCGACCCCCGCGUUCGGCU
Molecule: transfer RNA, 118 nt
Organism: Paracoccidioides sp.
Lineage: Eukaryota; Fungi; Ascomycota; Eurotiomycetes; Onygenales; Ajellomycetaceae
Rfam family: tRNA
About the family: Transfer RNA (tRNA) molecules are approximately 80 nucleotides in length. Their secondary structure includes four short double-helical elements and three loops (D, anti-codon, and T loops).
Source: Rfam